GCUGGGUGUGGUGGCACACACCUGUAAUCCCAGUGGCUCAGGAGGCUGAGGCAGGAGAAUGGCCAGUUUAAAACCAGCCUCAGCAAUGGCGAGGCGCUAAGCCACUCAGUGAGACCCUGUCUCUA
Molecule: small RNA, 125 nt
Filed under: Marmota monax (woodchuck)
Lineage: Eukaryota; Metazoa; Chordata; Mammalia; Rodentia; Sciuridae
Source: RNAcentral